UGGGGAAUAUUGCACAAGUGGGGGAAACCCUGAUGCAGCGACGCCGCGUGAGCGAAGAAGUAUUUCGGUAUGUAAAGCUCUAUCAGCAGGGAAGAAAAUGACGGUACCUGACUAAGAAGCUCCGGCUAAAUACGUGCC
Molecule: ribosomal RNA, 138 nt
Filed under: uncultured bacterium
Lineage: Bacteria
Description: partial 16S ribosomal RNA
Rfam family: Bacterial small subunit ribosomal RNA
Source: RNAcentral